RNAcentral lists this unclassified non-coding RNA (352 nucleotides) under soil metagenome. Its description in RNAcentral is "partial contains 5.8S ribosomal RNA, internal transcribed spacer 2, and large subunit ribosomal RNA". The stretch from base 1 to 120 matches the Rfam family "5.8S ribosomal RNA", at positions 35 to 154 of the family's 154-position model. The record is from RNAcentral.
GAUGAAGAACGUAGUGAAAUGCGAUAAGUAAUGUGAAUUGCAGAAUUCAGUGAAUCAUCGAAUCUUUGAACGCACAUUGCGCCCGCCAGUAUUCUGGCGGGCAUGCCUGUUCGAGUGUCAUUACAACCCUCAGGCCCCCGGGCCUGGCGUUGGGGAUCGGCGGAGCCCCCCGUGGGCACACGACGUCCCCCAAAUGCAGUGGCGGUCCCGCCGCAGCUUCCAUCGCGUAGUAGCUAACACCUCGCGACUGGAGAGCGGCGCGGCCACGCCGUAAAACACCCAACUCUUCUGAAGUUGACCUCGAAUCAGGUAGGAAUACCCGCUGAACUUAAGCAUAUCAAUAAGCGGAGGA